GACAGAGGGGGCCAGCGUUGUCCGGAGUUACUGGGCGUAAAGCGCACGCAGGCGGCGGCUUAAGUGUCGUGUGAAAGCUCCCGGCUCAACCGGGAGAGGCCAUGGCAGACUGGGUCGCUGGAGCGCCGGAGAGGUCUCUCGAAUUGCCGGUGUAGUGGUGAAAUGCGUAGAGAUCGGCAGGAAGACCAAGGGGGAAGCCAGGAGACUGGCCGGCAGCUGACGCUGAGGUGCGACGGCGUGGGGAGCAAACCGG
Molecule: ribosomal RNA, 253 nt
Filed under: uncultured bacterium
Lineage: Bacteria
Description: partial 16S ribosomal RNA
Rfam family: Bacterial small subunit ribosomal RNA
Source: RNAcentral